UACAGAGGGGGCAAGCGUUAUUCGGAAUUAUUGGGCGUAAAGGGCGCGUGAGGCGCUUUGCAAGUGGCGGGUGAAAUCCCUCGGCUUAACCGAGGAACUGCCUGCCAGACUGUGAGGCUUGAGACCGGGGAGAGGUGAGUGGAAUUCCCAGUGUAGCGGUGAAAUGCGUAGAUAUUGGGAGGAACACCAGUGGCGAAGGCGGCUCACUGGACCGGAACUGACGCUGAGGCGCGAAAGCGUGGG
Molecule: ribosomal RNA, 243 nt
Filed under: uncultured bacterium
Lineage: Bacteria
Description: partial 16S ribosomal RNA
Rfam family: Bacterial small subunit ribosomal RNA
Source: RNAcentral